AUGGCCGAGACCGUCGACGACAAGCUCGCCUACUUCCAGGCCGUCACAGGCAUCUCCGACCCCGACCUCUGCACCGAGAUUCUCGUGGCCAACAACUGGGACCUCCAGCUCGCCGUCUCCUCCAUCACCGGCGACCCCUCCUCGCCCGAGCCGUCCACUUACGCCCCGCCGCCCCCGCCUCCGCUGGAGUCCGAUUCCAUCGCCUACCACCCCCCUGCACCGGCUCCGCAGCAGCAGCAGCAGCCGGGGAUCGCGUGGAGGCUGGUGACGCUCCCCUUCUACGUCGUCUCCGGUGGGGUCGGCCUCGUCACCGGUUCCAUCCGUCUCGGUGUCUGGGUCGCAAGCGGCGUGCUGUCCCGAUCCCUCUCCCUCCUCGGCCUCGCGCAGCGCGGCGGUGACCGCUUGCUUGAGCUGCCCCCGUCCGCCGCGGAGGCGGUUGACUUCCUGGCCGAGUUCGAGCACGAGUUUGGGGCUGGCCGUGGCCCGCGCUUUGUUGCUGAGGGAUUUGCAGACGCGCUGCAGCGUGCGCAGCGUGAGUACAAGCUUCUCUUCGUGUACCUCCACUCCCCUGACCACCCGGACACCCCAGCAUUCUGCGGUGGCUGCCUCUGCUCCGAGCCCGUGGCCGCCUUCAUAGAUGAGAACUUCGUUGCAUGGGGUGGUAGCAUCAGAAGGACUGAAGGGUUCAAGAUGAGCAACAGCCUGAACGCAUCACGCUUCCCGUUUUGUGCGCUAGUCAUGGCAUCUACGAACCAGAGAAUUGUGCUGUUGCAGCAGGUUGAGGGGCCCAAAUCACCUGAAGAAAUGAUAACAAUUCUUCAGAGAGUUGUUGAAGAAUGCACUACGUCCCUUGUUGCUGCCAGGAUUGAAGCUGAAGAAAGACUAAACAAUCAACGUUUGCGUGAGGAACAAGAUGCUGCUUACAGAGCUGCACUUGAAGCUGAUCAGGCCAGAGAACGCCAGAUGAGAGAGGAACAAGAAAGACUUGAAAGAGAGGCCGUGGAGGCUGAGAGGAAGCGUAUAGAAGAUGAGGAAGCACAAGCCAGGGCAGUCCAAGAAGCAGCUGAAAAGGAAGCCGCUCUUGCAAGGAGACGGCAAGAGAAGGCAAUGGCUCUUGGCGCUGAGCCUGAGAAAGGGCCUGACGUUACUCGAGUUCUUAUAAGAUUUCCAACUGGAGAGCGCAAAGAAAGGAGAUUCCACAGUUCCGCCACCAUUACCUUGAUAUAUGACUUUGUUGAUUCUUUGGAUUGCUUGAAAGCGGAAAAGUACAGCCUAGUUUCUAAUUUUCCACGGGUAACAUACGGUCCUGAAAAGAACUCCCAAACGCUGGUGGAAGCAGGUUUGCACCCACAAGCAAGCCUAUUUAUCGAGAUAGAACAAUGA
RNAcentral lists this ribosomal RNA (1383 nucleotides) under Triticum aestivum (bread wheat). RNAcentral describes it as "partial small subunit ribosomal RNA". The record is from RNAcentral. Lineage: Eukaryota; Viridiplantae; Streptophyta; Magnoliopsida; Poales; Poaceae.